This 906-nucleotide ribosomal RNA is filed under the name uncultured organism. RNAcentral describes it as "bacterial SSU rRNA". It matches the Rfam family "Bacterial small subunit ribosomal RNA", at positions 1 to 917 of the family's 1533-position model. The record is from RNAcentral.
UUGGAUCCAGACUUUGAUCAUGGCUCAGGACGAACGCUGGCGGCGCGCCUAACACAUGCAAGUCGAACGGAGUCAAGAGGAGCUUGCUUUUCUUGACUUAGUGGCGAACGGGUGAGUAACGCGUGAGUAACCUGCCUUGGAGUGGGGGACAACAGUUGGAAACGACUGCUAAUACCGCAUAAGCCCACGGAUCCGCAUGGAUCUGCGGGAAAAGGAUUUAUUCGCUUCAGGAUGGACUCGCGUCCAAUUAGCUAGUUGGUGAGGUAACGGCCCACCAAGGCGACGAUUGGUAGCCGGACUGAGAGGUUGAACGGCCACAUUGGGACUGAGACACGGCCCAGACUCCUACGGGAGGCAGCAGUGGGGGAUAUUGCACAAUGGGGGAAACCCUGAUGCAGCGACGCCGCGUGGAGGAAGAAGGUUUUCGGAUUGUAAACUCCUGUCGUUAGGGACGAUAAUGACGGUACCUAACAAGAAAGCACCGGCUAACUACGUGCCAGCAGCCGCGGUAAAACGUAGGGUGCAAGCGUUGUCCGGAAUUACUGGGUGUAAAGGGAGCGCAGGCGGACCGGCAAGUUGGAAGUGAAAACUAUGGGCUCAACCCAUAAAUUGCUUUCAAAACUGCUGGCCUUGAGUAGUGCAGAGGUAGGUGGAAUUCCCGGUGUAGCGGUGGAAUGCGUAGAUAUCGGGAGGAACACCAGUGGCGAAGGCGACCUACUGGGCACCAACUGACGCUGAGGCUCGAAAGCAUGGGUAGCAAACAGGAUUAGAUACCCUGGUAGUCCAUGCCGUAAACGAUGAUUACUAGGUGUUGGAGGAUUGACCCCUUCAGUGCCGCAGUUAACACAAUAAGUAAUCCACCUGGGGAGUACGACCGCAAGGUUGCAACUCAAAUGAAUUGACGGA